This 1893-nucleotide ribosomal RNA is filed under the name Salmonella enterica subsp. enterica serovar Typhimurium. Its description in RNAcentral is "bacterial LSU rRNA". Lineage: Bacteria; Pseudomonadati; Pseudomonadota; Gammaproteobacteria; Enterobacterales; Enterobacteriaceae. The record is from RNAcentral.
CCCCGGAGAAUGUUAUCACGGGAGACACACGGCGGGUGCUAACGUCCGUCGUGAAGAGGGAAACAACCCAGACCGCCAGCUAAGGUCCCAAAGUCAUGGUUAAGUGGGAAACGAUGUGGGAAGGCCCAGACAGCCAGGAUGUUGGCUUAGAAGCAGCCAUCAUUUAAAGAAAGCGUAAUAGCUCACUGGUCGAGUCGGCCUGCGCGGAAGAUGUAACGGGGCUAAACCAUGCACCGAAGCUGCGGCAGCGAACGUAUCACCCAAGACAACUUUACGGAGUUGACGAUUGACGGAGCGAAGCGACGUCAAAGCGUUCAUUAAAGUCGAGUUGGCUUAGGGAUACGUUCGUUGGGUAGGGGAGCGUUCUGUAAGCCUGUGAAGGUGUGUCGUGAGGCAUGCUGGAGGUAUCAGAAGUGCGAAUGCUGACAUAAGUAACGAUAAAGCGGGUGAAAAGCCCGCUCGCCGGAAGACCAAGGGUUCCUGUCCAACGUUAAUCGGGGCAGGGUGAGUCGACCCCUAAGGCGAGGCCGAAAGGCGUAGUCGAUGGGAAACGGGUUAAUAUUCCCGUACUUGGUGUUACUGCGAAGGGGGGACGGAGAAGGCUAUGUUGGCCGGGCGACGGUUGUCCCGGUUUAAGCGUGUAGGGAACUCGGGUGAAGGAACUAGGCAAAAUGGUGCCGUAACUUCGGGAGAAGGCACGCUGACACGUAGGUGAAGUGAUUUACUCAUGGAGCUGAAGUCAGUCGAAGAUACCAGCUGGCUGCAACUGUUUAUUAAAAACACAGCACUGUGCAAACACGAAAGUGGACGUAUACGGUGUGACGCCUGCCCGGUGCCGGAAGGUUAAUUGAUGGGGUCAGCGYAAGCGAAGCUCCUGAUCGAAGCCCCGGUAAACGGCGGCCGUAACUAUAACGGUCCUAAGGUAGCGAAAUUCCUUGUCGGGUAAGUUCCGACCUGCACGAAUGGCGUAAUGAUGGCCAGGCUGUCUCCACCCGAGACUCAGUGAAAUUGAACUCGCUGUGAAGAUGCAGUGUACCCGCGGCAAGACGGAAAGACCCCGUGAACCUUUACUAUAGCUUGACACUGAACAUUGAGCCUUGAUGUGUAGGAUAGGUGGGAGGCUUUGAAGUGUGGACGCCAGUCUGCAUGGAGCCGACCUUGAAAUACCACCCUUUAAUGUUUGAUGUUCUAACGUGGACCCGUAAUCCGGGUUGCGGACAGUGUCUGGUGGGUAGUUUGACUGGGGCGGUCUCCUCCUAAAGAGUAACGGAGGAGCACGAAGGUUGGCUAAUCCUGGUCGGACAUCAGGAGGUUAGUGCAAUGGCAUAAGCCAGCUUGACUGCGAGCGUGACGGCGCGAGCAGGUGCGAAAGCAGGUCAUAGUGAUCCGGUGGUUCUGAAUGGAAGGGCCAUCGCUCAACGGAUAAAAGGUACUCCGGGGAUAACAGGCUGAUACCGCCCAAGAGUUCAUAUCGACGGCGGUGUUUGGCACCUCGAUGUCGGCUCAUCACAUCCUGGGGCUGAAGUAGGUCCCAAGGGUAUGGCUGUUCGCCAUUUAAAGUGGUACGCGAGCUGGGUUUAGAACGUCGUGAGACAGUUCGGUCCCUAUCUGCCGUGGGCGCUGGAGAACUGAGGGGGGCUGCUCCUAGUACGAGAGGACCGGAGUGGACGCAUCACUGGUGUUCGGGUUGUCAUGCCAAUGGCACUGCCCGGUAGCUAAAUGCGGAAGAGAUAAGUGCUGAAAGCAUCUAAGCACGAAACUUGCCCCGAGAUGAGUUCUCCCUGAGACUUUAUGUGACUGACUUUGCGAAUGCAGCCAACGCAGCAUCGGUGUAAAAGAUUCGUUUCUGGCAACAGAAUUUGCCUGGCGGCCGUAGCGCGGUGGUCCCACCUG